UAAAUCUUAUGUUAUAAUAAACUGGAAAUCUUCCAAAUUUCUAAAAAGGUCCCCUUAGAUUUAU
RNAcentral lists this transfer RNA (64 nucleotides) under Pseudocrangonyx daejeonensis. RNAcentral's name for it is "tRNA-Gly". The record is from RNAcentral. Lineage: Eukaryota; Metazoa; Arthropoda; Malacostraca; Amphipoda; Pseudocrangonyctidae.